Molecule: ribosomal RNA, 393 nt
Filed under: uncultured bacterium
Lineage: Bacteria
Description: bacterial SSU rRNA
Rfam family: Bacterial small subunit ribosomal RNA
Source: RNAcentral
AGAGUUUGAUCCUGGCUCAGAGCGAACGCUGGCGGCAGGCCUAACACAUGCAAGUCGAGCGCCGUAGCAAUACGGAGCGGCAGACGGGUGAGUAACGCGUGGGAACGUGCCCUUCGGUUCGGAAUAACUCAGGGAAACUUGAGCUAAUACCGGAUACGUCCGAAAGGAGAAAGAUUUAUCGCCGAAGGAUCGGCCCGCGUAAGAUUAGCUAGUUGGUGAGGUAACGGCUCACCAAGGCUCUGAUCUUUAGCUGGUCUGAGAGGACGAUCAGCCACACUGGGACUGAGACACGGCCCAGACUCCUACGGGAGGCAGCAGUGGGGAAUAUUGGACAAUGGGCGCAAGCCUGAUCCAGCCAUGCCGCGUGAGUGAUGAAGGCCUUAGGGUUGUAAA